GACGAACGCUGGCGGCGUGCUUAACACAUGCAAGUCGAGCGAUGAAACACCUUCGGGUGCGGAUUAGCGGCGAACGGGUGAGGAACACGUGAGGAAUCUGCCUUCCACUCUGGGAUAACUCCGGGAAACCGGGGCUAAUACCGGAUACUUUCAACUGGCGGCAUCGCCGGUUGAAGAAAGUUUUUCGGUGGAAGAUGACCUCGCGGCCUAUCAGCUUGGUGGUGAGGUAAAGGCUCACCAAGGCGACGACGGGUAGCCGGCCUGAGAGGGCGACCGGCCACACUGGGACUGAGACACGGCCCAGACUCCUACGGGAGGCAGCAGUGGGGAAUAUUGGGCAAUGGAGGAAACUCUGACCCAGCGACGCCGCGUGAGGGAUGAAGGCCUUCGGGUUGUAAACCUCUUUCAGCAGGGAAUAAGCGAAAGUGAAGGUACCUGCAGAAGAAGCACCGGCUAACUAUGUGCCAGCCGCCGCGGUAC
This 480-nucleotide ribosomal RNA is filed under the name uncultured bacterium. RNAcentral's name for it is "partial 16S ribosomal RNA". It matches the Rfam family "Bacterial small subunit ribosomal RNA", at positions 28 to 523 of the family's 1533-position model. The record is from RNAcentral.